AGUCCGAGAACCCCAAACAGUUCCCUAUAUACGGGGCGGCAGCCUCGUCGGCCUGCAGGCCGGCUAGCCGCCGCAUGAUGAUGAUAUUGCUUCUUAUACGUAUCAUAGUCCCAUAAUGUUCUUGAAAUGGGUUAAUUAACACUCAAGUCAUGCCCUUAUGAUGUUCUGGGCCGCACGCGCGUUACAAUGGCAUGUAAAGCGAGUGCUGCAAAAGCAGUUACCGGGGCCGAAGCCCUGGUAACCCCUAAUCCCUGCUGCUGGAAUAAUCAUUGCAAUUAUUGUCUCUAACGAGGAUUUUUAGUAAGUCGAGUCAUAACCUACCACGAUGCGUCUGCCUUUUGUAAAACAGCA
This 351-nucleotide ribosomal RNA is filed under the name Physarum cinereum. Its description in RNAcentral is "bacterial SSU rRNA". It matches the Rfam family "Eukaryotic small subunit ribosomal RNA", at positions 1361 to 1664 of the family's 1831-position model. The record is from RNAcentral. Lineage: Eukaryota; Evosea; Eumycetozoa; Physariida; Physaraceae.